Molecule: long non-coding RNA, 511 nt
Filed under: Helianthus annuus (common sunflower)
Lineage: Eukaryota; Viridiplantae; Streptophyta; Magnoliopsida; Asterales; Asteraceae
Description: hypothetical non coding rna
Source: RNAcentral
AAUAUGUGGGACAUACGAAGCCUAUAAAUACCGACACUCUCAGCCUACUCGACACCCUCACACCAUCACAACAUCUUUUCGCUCAAACCGCAUACUCGUCGGAGAAGCCGGGUCGUCACCGGAAGAACUUGAAGCUCGCCGGAGCCGUACGGAAUCCGACGGAACUCUUUUCUUUUGUUCGGACAUCACCUUCUCCUUUUGGUUCGCGCUGGUUCACGUCGGAGACAACCUAAGUUCGCAACGGGAACCAUUUCAUCGAUUCGGAUAACCGCUCUCGUUCGUUCUCUUCAAUUCCCAAUCUUUACUCGUGCGAUAAUUCAAGGAAUUCUCAUAUGCAUUCAAUGUUGAUGAUUGAUGACACUAUGAAAAUGGAUAGCGAAGAUGCCUAGAUACUUAUUUAGACGCCUUAAGUUUAAAUCGUUGUAUCAAUUUUGUUAUGUUAUGUUUGAACAAUGUUGUCAUUGAAUUUCCUUGUAUGUUUUAACAAUUUAUUUAUGAAAUGAAAUCGGUU